UGGGGAAUAUUAGACAAUGGGCGAAAGCCUGAUCCAGCCAUGCCGCGUGUGUGAAGAAGGCCUUUUGGUUGUAAAGCACUUUAAGCGAGGAGGAGGCUACUUAGAUUAAUACUCUAGGAUAGUGGACGUUACUCGCAGAAUAAGCACCGGCUAACUCUGUGCCAGCAGCCGCGGUAAUACAGAGGGUGCGAGCGUUAAUCGGAUUUACUGGGCGUAAAGCGUGCGUAGGCGGCUUUUUAAGUCGGAUGUGAAAUCCCUGAGCUUAACUUAGGAAUUGCAUUCGAUACUGGGAAGCUAGAGUAUGGGAGAGGAUGGUAGAAUUCCAGGUGUAGCGGUGAAAUGCGUAGAGAUCUGGAGGAAUACCGAUGGCGAAGGCAGCCAUCUGGCCUAAUACUGACGCUGAGGUACGAAAGCAUGGGGAGCAAACAGG
This 430-nucleotide ribosomal RNA is filed under the name bacterium. RNAcentral describes it as "partial 16S ribosomal RNA". It matches the Rfam family "Bacterial small subunit ribosomal RNA", at positions 355 to 776 of the family's 1533-position model. The record is from RNAcentral.